CGUCUCCUUCGAUUUCGUGUCGGAUGUCCGCCAAGCCGCCAUUUUACCCCUCUUCACCUCUUCGCCUCUUCGUUCUACUCUCCUGCAGAGUAUAAUACGCUACACGGAAUUCUUCAGGGAGGGGAAGAGAGGAAAUAUCCACGGCGAAGGGAUGCUCAUCGCGGAGGUAUAAGAGCGAGGGCAAGGAAAAGGGGGGGACCUCUUUAUCAAACCCUUAUAUUGGAUCUUCUUACGUCGCUACGCGGUCCUCGUCGUCGUUAUGCUGCAGCAGCACACCCCCACCAAUUCUUCACUUCCAUCUACCUUUAUUCUUCGUUGGCACAUCACAUUGCAGCAAUAGGAU
Molecule: unclassified non-coding RNA, 343 nt
Filed under: Athalia rosae (coleseed sawfly)
Lineage: Eukaryota; Metazoa; Arthropoda; Insecta; Hymenoptera; Athaliidae
Description: misc RNA ENSAEAG00005009590.1
Source: RNAcentral